Echinops telfairi (small Madagascar hedgehog) is the source of this 346-nucleotide long non-coding RNA. RefSeq lists it as uncharacterized. Lineage: Eukaryota; Metazoa; Chordata; Mammalia; Afrosoricida; Tenrecidae. The transcript has 3 exons. The record is from RefSeq and is a predicted model, not a curated record.
GAGCUAAGCGCAGGCGGACGCAGUCUGGAGCGCUAGCGGGUGUCGCCAGGCUUGCAGCGCGGAGCAAGAAGCGGAGCCCGCAGCGGUGCGUCUUCUGGGACUUGUGCUCGGAGGAAGCGUGUGCUCCAGCAAAUAGCUCCAGUGCAAUCCCUCCAUCUGACUGACAGGGGCCGGCCCUCAGAACAGCGAGAGGAAGCCAUGCAGAUGAGCCGCCCACAUCUGUCACCCACAUCUGUCACGGCGCGGCGAGUCGGCUCCGGCCCAUAGCGACCCCACACACAACUGGAGGAAACCCUGCCGGGCCGGUGCCGUCCUCCCAGCUGUGCCCAUGCCUGAGCCCAUCGAC